This 408-nucleotide unclassified non-coding RNA is filed under the name Hevea brasiliensis (rubber tree). Lineage: Eukaryota; Viridiplantae; Streptophyta; Magnoliopsida; Malpighiales; Euphorbiaceae. The record is from RNAcentral.
AUAUAUGAUUAUCUACACGAGAUAUAUUCUAUCACGGCCCUACAAAUCUAACCAGGUGAGGUUAGAAUUGUGAGUCUUAUACGCUAAUCAGCAUGUCUACUGCUUGGAAAAGGCUUGGUUAGCACAUCUGCAACUUGAUCCUUAGAAGAUAUGUAGCGAACUUGCAGGUCUUUAUUGGCCACCUUGUCUCGCACAAAAUGAUAGUCCACUUCAAUGUGUUUUCAGUCGGGAAUGGAAGAUGGGAUUAGCUGUGAGGUAGGUGGCACAUACAUUAUCACACCACAGAGUAGGAAUUUGAGGAGAUAAAAUAGAAAACUCACGAAGCAGAGUUUGAAUCCAAGUUAAUUCAGUAGUUGCAGCACCAAUAGAGCGAUAUUCUGCUUCGGUAGAUGAACGCGCUGCCGUAGG